RNAcentral lists this ribosomal RNA (220 nucleotides) under Campeiostachys nutans. RNAcentral describes it as "Elymus nutans partial small subunit ribosomal RNA". It matches the Rfam family "Eukaryotic small subunit ribosomal RNA", at positions 643 to 864 of the family's 1831-position model. The record is from RNAcentral. Lineage: Eukaryota; Viridiplantae; Streptophyta; Magnoliopsida; Poales; Poaceae.
GGAUUGACGUGAUGGUCAUGCCUUAAGGGGUAUGAACUGUUACUGUUGAUUUCUCACCUUCUGGAGAAACUUGAUGUCCUUUAUUUGGUGUUAUAGGGAAUCAGGACUGUUACUUUGAAAAAAUUAGAGUGUUUAAAGCAGGCUCACGCUUGAAUACAUUAGCAUGGAAUAACGAAAUAGGACGUUUGAUUCUAUUUUGUUGGUUUCUAGGAUCGACGUA